This is a non-coding RNA of Labrus bergylta (ballan wrasse), 883 nucleotides long. The record is from RefSeq and is a predicted model, not a curated record. Lineage: Eukaryota; Metazoa; Chordata; Actinopteri; Labriformes; Labridae.
CAAACGGAUUUGUGUCCAUCUUCUGCUCCUUGAGUUUGUCAGCCAGACUCUGUUGGUUGAUCUCAUCAUCCUGUGAAUUAUUACAAGAAAAGGACAUCAACUGUUUGUACAGGUUGCUCCUCCUCGUAUUUGCUCCGCUCGUGGCAACAAUAUUAUUUGACUUUUCUUUCACAAAGCUGAACUGUACCUGUAGGUCUGUCUUGAUGAGCGAGGCUCCUGCUUGGACCAGAUAAUGACAGAUAGUUCUUUGAGACAGGGACGCAGCUCGGUGAAGGACCGUCUCCCCCCUGGUCAACAGAAGAGAGAGAGAGAGAGCGUGUCAGAUUACAGCAUCUGACAACAUCACCCGAGGAACAGACAUCAACAGUGGCCCCCCUGCUGCUUCUUUUGGUGUCUUGUGUUUAUGAUGGCACAUAUAUCAUCACAUAUAUACUGAACAGAGAUCAGAGCACAGAUACAGACACAGGCAGUUUGAAAGCAUCAUCAUCUACACUCUGUUAACAUUUAAAUAAAGUGUUUAGCAUUUUAAAAACCUCAUGGUUUCAGUUCAAUGUUAGAUGUUUUCAAGCACAAAUAUAAUCUGUACUUACUGCAGUUUUUCUGUAACCACUGAAAACUACUUAAAAGGCCGGGUUGGUGAUUUUCUCCAGAUUCACUUUUUAAGAUUGUGGUUGAAAUUGUCUUUUGGUCCUGACAAUGCAGGCAAUGAGCUGAGGUCUGCUUCUGGGGUGGGUGCAGACGGAGCACUGAGGGAAUGCUACUUUUAGAAAAUGACCGACCCUGCCUUUAACCCAGACAAGACUCUCUCUUACCUGCUUUUUGUGACUUGAGAUAACAUUUGUAUUGAGUUGGCGCUCUACAAAAUAAAGAUUGAUUGAACUGA